CUUGGUCAUUUAGAGGAAGUAAAAGUCGUAACAAGGUUUCCGUAGGUGAACCUGCGGAAGGAUCAUUACCGAGUGAGGGUCCUCGUGGCCCAACCUCCAACCCUGUGUUUACACAUACCCUGUUGCUUUGGCGGGCCCGUCUUCGGACCGCCGGGGGUUCGCAUGAAUCUCUGGCCUGUGCCCGCCAAUGGCCCCCAACAACAAACGCUGAUACAAAUCGUGACCUUCUUAGUUAUCAACGAAAAAUCGUUAAAAACUUUCAACAACGGAUCUCUUGGUUCUGGCAUCGAUGAAGAACGCAGCGAAAUGCGAUAAGUAAUGCGAAUUGCAGAAUUUAGUGAGUCAUCGAAUUUUUGAACGCACAUUGCGCCCUUUGGUAUUCCGAAGGGCAUGCCUGUUCGAGCGUCAUUGUCAACCCUCAAGCCUGGCUUGCUGUUGAGCCCUCAGCCCGUCACACCGGCUGGCUCGAAAGACAGUGGCAGAGUCGGUUCGGACCCUGGAUGCAACGAGCUCGUCACGAGCACGCAUCGAAGUGGCCGGGCGACCCUUCGCCGAGACCUUUUUUUCUUCUCAAGGUUGACCUCGGAUCAGGUAGGAAUACCCGCUGAACUUAAGCAUAUCAAUAAGCGGAGGA
RNAcentral lists this ribosomal RNA (634 nucleotides) under uncultured Ascomycota. RNAcentral describes it as "eukaryotic LSU rRNA". The stretch from base 255 to 408 matches the Rfam family "5.8S ribosomal RNA". Lineage: Eukaryota; Fungi; Ascomycota. The record is from RNAcentral.